UAUCUAUUCCUUUUUGUGUGUGUCUGCAGCAUCAUUUUAUGACAUACAAACCAGAUUUUGAGUGGGUUCCACCCUGCCUCUGCAGAAUGUUCAAGGAGCAAGGAUCUGCGGAAACUAGGACAACGCUCCCUCAGUAUGAUAUUUGCAUGGGCGCUUCUGACGCUUCUCAUUUAUUCCUCACGUGCUGAUCUCCAUGGACAUUUAAUUUUGCAGGCGACUACCUUAAAACACAUGACAAAUGCUAGUAUGCAGCCUAGAGCCUGGAAACAGGAAUUUAGGCUGAGCCCUGGAUGUGGUGGUGCCUGCCUACAGACUGUGGCGCCCGCGGCCUGAGAUGACUGUAUGCUUGACUGAAGCAAAACGGAUAGGAAGUCCAAACAAGGAAUCCAUCCGAAGAGCCUGGACUUAAAUGUAGAGGUAAUGCAUAAGCAUGCAAAAGGUAAAUGAAAGAUGAAAGCCAAACCAGAGAACAUAAGGUGAUGACACAGAAGCUCUGAUAAUUUCUGGAAGUAUGGAGUUGGAGAUUUCUUGAACUCAUGUAAACACACACGUGUGUGCACUUGUGUGUUUGUGUGGUUUGUCUCACGUGUCGUCCUUUCUUAUUCUGUUAAAAAAAUGCCAACCAUGUCUCGAAUUCAGGAGAUGAACAGGAUCCAAACUAGAAUACCUGAUUCAUUCUCCAAGGUUUAGUGAGUAUAACUAGUGGGAAAGGUUUUUCCUGACAGGCCAUGAAAUUGUUAGUGUGAAUUCAGAACUACCAGCAACGUAUUCUAAUGCAGAUAGCCUUGACUGCUCUAAAAUACAGCUAAAAUAACCUAGGAAGGAAAUCAUAAAAGACUAAUGCAGAGAGAAUCCUGAAGACAUUCAGUUUUCCAGUUCCAUUCAACCUCAGUAUCACCUUUGCCCUUCCUGGAUAUGUGGACCAAUAAAUCUCAUUUUGAACUUGAGCUAGUUUGCAUUGACUUUCUGUCAGGUACUACUAGAGAAUAGUGGCUAUUACAGAGGACUUAAUUCAGUGGUUGGAAGCUAUGCCUCUGGCUCUAUAGGCUUUCAAGGAAAAUACAUGUGUGUAUAGGUGUGGGGAGGUUGGGGAGUGGGGUUGCUUCUUGCUAGCUCUUAGGCCCAGAGAGCUGGGGAAAAUAUAAGUGACCCAGAAAACCAAAAGAUUAUAUGCAAACAUAUUAGAGCUAAAAAGAAAACCAUACCGAGCUUCCUAUGGUUGCAGAAAAUUACAGAAAUCUCAGGAAGAGGCAAAGGGGUCUGGCACUCACAAAAAUAAAAUCAUGUCGGGUGAAUGUUCUAACCCUAAAACCACAUGCCUUGGUGAAGCACAUAGUAUUGGUGUUGAGUAGUGGUGUUGGUGGAUAUCAAGUAAUUGCACUUGGAAACUCUUUUCUGGAGGCUACUAUUGAAACCACAUUUCAUUAUAAUAAUUGUGUGGAUUGAUAUUCAUUCCGAGUAGAGAAAUCUGUAUGUAUCUUGAUUACAUGAUAUUUGUAAACUUGAAAUUUUGUGAAUUACUUUUAUAAAUUUGCAUAUGUGAUUAUAAAAGAACCCACACAUUCAGCACUAGUUCAGAACUAGCACUUGGUCUUAGACCCAAGUAGAAUAAAAUGGAUGACCACACUAAUAACACAACUCUGAUAUAUGUAAACUAUUUCCCCAGGCAAGUAGACAUGAAGUUGGUCAGAUUUUCGUGAUCUACAUCCUUUAUGCAGAAGCUAAAAUAAUGGUAGGACCCAUUGUUUAUAUGUUACAAAGCGCUGAAAUUGUGUUAAUCCAAUUCCUAAUAAAAGUUAGAACGCUAACUCUUCUAGACGUCUCUCCAAAUUAUAUGGGACCUAAUAUUAUCAUAAAGGGGAAGAAUAGAAAUUAUCAAAAUAUACACCUCUUCAAGAGUUACCCGCUUGACAAUUAAAAAAUAAUUUUGGUAUUUCAAUGCUUAUCACAGUAUACUUAUGAAAAUCUACUGCAGGAUUAGAAAGUCUCAUAAUGUCUCUGUCAAAAAUUUGUGGAGCAGGAAUUUCAGACUAACAGAAUGAGGGAAAUACAACAUUACAAGAGUUAAAGGCUGAGAAUUUUUCAGAACUUAAUGAAGAUGUGACUGCUUAUAUUUCUGUCACACAUAGGAUCCUGAGCAGGAACUCUGAGCUAGGGCUAAUGCAAGAACAACAGUGUUAGAGUAUAGAGUUAUAAACUCACAUAUAACACAUAUUUUAAAAUAAUAAUAAAUAUAAGCAUAAUAGAGUUGUGGAGAUAGUCCCCUAUAUCUAGACAUUUUACCCUCUCUGAAUCCACCCACAUAUCUCAUUUUCUUGAUUUUUAAAUAUUUAAUGUUUAUUCUUGAGAGAGAGAGACAGAGAGA
Leopardus geoffroyi (Geoffroy's cat) is the source of this 2365-nucleotide long non-coding RNA. RefSeq lists it as uncharacterized. The transcript has 3 exons. The record is from RefSeq and is a predicted model, not a curated record. Lineage: Eukaryota; Metazoa; Chordata; Mammalia; Carnivora; Felidae.